RNAcentral lists this long non-coding RNA (1527 nucleotides) under Triticum aestivum (bread wheat). RNAcentral describes it as "long non-coding RNA (TAES_LNC013276)". Lineage: Eukaryota; Viridiplantae; Streptophyta; Magnoliopsida; Poales; Poaceae. The record is from RNAcentral.
UCGGAGUUGGACCAGAGAUAUUUGAAGACCCUGAAGACUUUGUUAAAACAGGCAAGCAGCCCUUUGACCAUGAUGAACCAUUUUACAUUAUAAUAGCAUUUUUGUUGCUUCACUGAGUGCAUGAUAUACCUUGAAUGGCAACCUUGCUAGGCUUGCCUCCGUUGCAUACUCCAUUGAUACUUGCAUUGUUCAUGACUCUACCCUUGCUUAGAGUUGUGUUGGUGGGUUGUAGAAAUAUGCUAUAGUAAAUGGCUACGCAAAGUGGGUCAGGGUUAUGCAUGGAAAGAAAGAAGUGUGGUUUGACAUACUUGCAAACAGCCCAGUGGGUGCCACUAAUGCCCCUGGGAGAUGAUGAUGAACUAGGUCACUACUUGGUGGAGAAGUAGUGUACCGAGGCUCGAUAAAAGUGUUGUUUACAGAGACGGAUUAGAUUUAAGAUUUGUCGACCGUCCCAACCAAACAUGCGCGACCACUCUACCCUUAUAUGGGAAAGGGCAUUAUUGAUUACCUAGGUCGAUACUAGCUUGGAGCCUGCAUUACUAGUGACGGGAUAGUCGUUGUUGCGCUCUCUCGGGAUGGGUUCGUGCCAGGUAGGGCGGCCAAGAACAUUUUUAUGGGGCACCGGACACACCGUCGGUACCCCGUGCCAGUGGUAUGUGAUGAAUAUGGGAGCGAGGCUCCAUAAUUUUAAGUUGUGAAAUGUUGGGCACGGGGGUUACUACCAAUUGAGUGGACUCUAUGUUAGUGUUGUCUAGGGAAAGAUAGUGAUCGGGUGCUUACCCCGGGUACUUGAGGUACCGCGGGUCGUGGAUGACACGGAAGUUCCCCGGAUCUUGUGGGUAAAGUGUGCAACCUCUGCAGAGUGUAAAACUAUUCGAAUAGCCGUGUCCACGGUCAAGGACAGUUGGUGGUGCUGCUUAGACUACGUCCAUAUGUUUCUGACAAACAACACGGUUUGGUAAAUCUAUUGACGUGAUUCGUGAGGAUGUCACGAUGAGCUUGAGCAUGAGUUGUUCAUAACUCUCUCUCGAUGUUGAUGUCUGUAACCUCCUGAUACUUGUUGCAGACGCAUUCAUAUCCUUGAUAAAUGUUGAUCAUACUUGCAUGAGAAAAACUAGCUUUCCACAAAAAUGCCAAUUUAGCAGUAGUGCCUUGCAUAAUUAUUCUGUUAUCACCCUUGGGUUUCUUGCGAGUACAUUCAAAGUACUCAUUGGCUUGCCACUGGUUAUUUUAUUGGCCAGGCAUGAAAGAACAGGAUAUGAUGAAGAAUACUUCGUGACGAACAUGCGAGCUAGGACGCUUCCCAGUCAGAAUGCCUGUAGGGUUAAGGCAGAUGGCAUGGGUCCAAGUUAUCGACGAAGAUUUCCGCUGCGAUGUUAUACUCAAGACUUGACCAUAAUGGUCCUACUUGUGUAAUACGGUAUGUAUGGAUGUAAGACUCUUGUUAUUCAGCUUCGGUGUGUUCAGUGAGCAUUGAUCUCUGGGAUCACUGUACACGUGCAUUCGGUGAUCAUGACUUAUGAUUCG